This 253-nucleotide ribosomal RNA is filed under the name uncultured bacterium. RNAcentral describes it as "partial 16S ribosomal RNA". It matches the Rfam family "Bacterial small subunit ribosomal RNA", at positions 524 to 776 of the family's 1533-position model. The record is from RNAcentral.
GACGAACCGUCCAAACGUUAUUCGGUAUCACUGGGCUUAAAGCGUGCGUAGGCGGCCUAGUAGGUGAGGUGUGAAAUCCCUCGGCUCAACCGAGGAACAGCGCUUCAAACCACUAGGCUUGAGGGAGACAGGGGUGAUUGGAACAGUUGGUGGAGCGGUGAAAUGCGUUGAUAUCAACUGGAACACCGGUGGCGAAAGCGAAUCACUGGGUCUCUUCUGACGCUGAGGCACGAAAGCUAGGGGAGCGAACGGG